RNAcentral lists this non-coding RNA (28 nucleotides) under Rattus norvegicus (Norway rat). Lineage: Eukaryota; Metazoa; Chordata; Mammalia; Rodentia; Muridae. The record is from RNAcentral.
UGCUAUGUAUUCAUUGUCCAAAAUUUGU